Molecule: ribosomal RNA, 253 nt
Filed under: uncultured bacterium
Lineage: Bacteria
Description: partial 16S ribosomal RNA
Rfam family: Bacterial small subunit ribosomal RNA
Source: RNAcentral
UACGUAGGGUCCGAGCGUUGUCCGGAAUUAUUGGGCGUAAAGAGCGUGUAGGCGGCCAGAUAAGUCCGCUGUGAAAUCUCGAGGCUCAACUUCGAGCUGUCGGUGGAAACUAUCUGGCUAGAGUCCGGAAGAGGAGAAUGGAAUUCCUAGUGUAGCGGUGAAAUGCGCAGAUAUCAGGAAGAACACCCGUGGCGAAGGCGGUUCUCUGGGACGGUACUGACGCUGAGACGCGAAAGCGUGGGGAGCGAACAGG